GACGUAGGGCGCAAGCGUUGUCCGGAUUUAUUGGGCGUAAAGAGCUCGUAGGCGGCUUGUUGCGUCGACUGUGAAAUCCCGCGGCUUAACUGCGGGCUUGCAGUUGAUACGGGCAGGCUGGAGUUCGGUAGGGGAGACUGGAAUUCCUGGUGUAGCGGUGAAAUGCGUAGAUAUCGGGAGGAACACCAGUGGCGCAAGCGGCUGACUGGCCGAGACCUGACGCUGAGACGCGACGGCGUGGGGAGCAAACCGG
RNAcentral lists this ribosomal RNA (253 nucleotides) under uncultured bacterium. RNAcentral's name for it is "partial 16S ribosomal RNA". It matches the Rfam family "Bacterial small subunit ribosomal RNA", at positions 524 to 776 of the family's 1533-position model. The record is from RNAcentral.